CCUCCUUUUCUUGGUAGGGGCCGGGCGCACGGUCCCGAUCUGCAUAAGGUACAGAUAAGGGAUGGGCUCUGGCCCCCUCGGUGUCAUGUCUUCAGUAACAGUGGCCACAGUCUACCAGUUCUGUCAUCAAGCGCUGGGACACAG
Small nucleolar RNA from Capra hircus (goat), 144 nucleotides. Lineage: Eukaryota; Metazoa; Chordata; Mammalia; Artiodactyla; Bovidae. The record is from Ensembl.